CGGAAGUAAAGUCGUAACAAGGUUCCGUAGGUGAACCUGCGGAAGGAUCAUUAAUAAAUGGUCUACGUUUUUUAAGUAGACGCUUAAUAAUCCUACCUUGUGAAUUUGUGUUUUGAAAUAAUUUUUUUUAAAUUAUGAUGUCUUUCCCUGUGAAUUGGUUGUCUUAAUGGCAAAUGAUUCGCAGGGAGGUCAGUAAUUUUUAAAAAGACCUUUUUAAAAUUAAACUUUUUGUAUUCAUUUGUCUAAAUUAUUUUUAUAAUAUAAAAACAACUUUGACAAUGGAUCUUGUUCUCGCAACGAUGAAGAACGCAGCAAAUGCGAUAAGUAGUGUGAAUUGCAGAAUACGUGAAUCAUCGAAUCUUCGAACGCAUAUUGCACUUUUUUAGUUACUAAGAAGUAUGUCUGUUUGGUAUCAGUAAAAUAUUCUCAUAAAACUUUUGUUUUAUGUUAUGAGUGUUUACAACGAUACAGUUGUUCACUUUAAAUUUUUUUAAAAUUUGAAUUUUCUAAUUUAAAAUAAAUGGAUAAAUUUCCCGUAAAAGGAAUAACCUAAACAAUUUUAAUUUUUGAUUAGAAUUCUUCACAUUCUAAGGAAAAUUAACUAAUAACUUGAUCUCAAAUCAGAUAAGAGUACCGCUGAACUUAAGCAUAUCAAUAAGCGGAGGAAAAGAAACUACAAGGAUUCCUUAGUAACGGCGAGUGAGCGGAAGAGCUCAAAUUGAAAUCUUCAAGUUUUACCUUGACGAAUUGUAGUUUAAAGAAGUGUUUUCUGUUGAAGUUUGGUAAAGUUCUUUGGAAUAGACAUCAUAGAGGUGAGAAUCCCGUAUUUGACCAUUAUUCAGCUGUGUGAUACACUUUCAAGAGUCGGAUUGUUGGGAAUGCAGUCCAAAAUGGGUGUAAAUUUCAUCUAAGCUAAAUAUUGCGAGAGACCGAUAGCGAACAAGUACCGUGAGGGAAAGAUGAAAAGAACUUGAAAAGAGAGUUAACAGUACGUGAAAUUGUCAAAGGAAGCGUUUGACACCAGUGUUGUUUCUCGAAAGUCAAUUAAAAAAGUUGGAUUUUGUGUUGUAUUGACCUUAACAGCUUGCUUCACUCUUUCCUGCUUUUUUUAAUGCACUUUUCGUUAACAAGUCAACAUCAGUUUCUUUGUUGUAAAGGGUCAUUGGAAGUGGCUUUCUCUUCGGAGAAGUGUUAUAGCCUUUGAUCUCUGCAAUCGAGAGACUGAGGUCCGCAGCGUGAUCCUUCGGGGUUAGAUACAUUUGUGCUAAGCUACAGCUUUCAUAGACAACUGUUGACUAUGUUUAGUCUGUAACUUACCCGCUUAUGCUAUUUACCUACGCUUAGGAUGUUGAG
Molecule: unclassified non-coding RNA, 1353 nt
Filed under: uncultured Neocallimastigales
Lineage: Eukaryota; Fungi; Neocallimastigomycota; Neocallimastigomycetes; Neocallimastigales
Description: partial contains small subunit ribosomal RNA, internal transcribed spacer 1, 5.8S ribosomal RNA, internal transcribed spacer 2, and large subunit ribosomal RNA
Rfam family: Eukaryotic large subunit ribosomal RNA (bases 611-1353)
Source: RNAcentral